CCUACGGGCGGCAGCAGUGAGGAAUAUUGGUCAAUGGACGAGAGUCUGAACCAGCCAAGUAGCGUGAAGGAUGACUGCCCUAUGGGUUGUAAACUUCUUUUAUAUGGGAAUAAAAUGUUCCACGUGUGGGAUUUUGUAUGUACCAUAUGAAUAAGGAUCGGCUAACUCCGUGCCAGCAGCCGCGGUAAUAAGGAGGAUCCGAGCGUUAUCAGGAAUUAUUGGGGUUAAAGGGAGCGUAGGUGGAUUGUUAAGUCAGUUGUGAAAGUUUGCGGCUCAACCGUAAAAUUGCAGUUGAAACUGGCAGUCUUGAGUACAGUAGAGGUGGGCGGAAUUCGUGGUGUAGCGGUGAAAUGCUUAGAUAUCACGAAGAACUCCGAUUGCGAAGGCAGUUCACUGGACUGCAACUGACACUGAGGCUCGAAAGUGUGGGUAUCAAACAGGAUUAGAUACCCUUGUAGUC
Molecule: ribosomal RNA, 460 nt
Filed under: uncultured bacterium
Lineage: Bacteria
Description: partial 16S ribosomal RNA
Rfam family: Bacterial small subunit ribosomal RNA
Source: RNAcentral